Molecule: ribosomal RNA, 514 nt
Filed under: uncultured bacterium
Lineage: Bacteria
Description: bacterial SSU rRNA
Rfam family: Bacterial small subunit ribosomal RNA
Source: RNAcentral
AACGAACGCUGGCGGCGUGGAUAAGACAUGCAAGUCGAACGCUUAUUCUCGGGUAGCAAUAUUCGAGAGUAGGAGUGGCGCAAGGGUGCGUAACACGUGGAUCAUCUACCGAGAAGUUCUGAAUAAUCCCGAGAAAUCGGGACUAAUGCGGGAUGUGGCCGGAAGGCUAAAGCUGGGGACCGUAAGGCCUGGCGCUUCUUGAUGAGUCCGCGGCCUAUCAGCUAGUUGGCGGGGUAACGGCCCACCAAGGCUAAGACGGGUAGCUGGUCUGAGAGGACGACCAGCCUCACUGGAACUGAGACACGGUCCAGACACCUACGGGUGGCAGCAGUCGAGAAUUUUUUCUCAAUGGGGGAAACCCUGAAGGAGCGACGCCGUGUGGGGGAUGAAGGGCUUCGGGCCCGUAAACCCUGUCAUUUGCGAACAAACGUCAUGGUUGAACAUUCCAUGACUUGAUUUGUAGCGAAAAGAGGAAGGGACGGCUAAACUCUGUGCCAGCAGCCGCCGCCGUAAU